Homalodisca vitripennis (glassy-winged sharpshooter) is the source of this 974-nucleotide long non-coding RNA. RefSeq lists it as uncharacterized. The transcript is spliced from 2 exons. The record is from RefSeq and is a predicted model, not a curated record. NCBI's taxonomy places the organism in Eukaryota, Metazoa, Arthropoda, Insecta, Hemiptera, Cicadellidae.
UGUAGGGGGUGGUGGCUCGCCUCUCACUGACACAGACAGACAGAGGCCGACUCACCCCUCGCGAACACCCCCCACACCCCCACACCCACUGUCAUGCGCGCACCUCAGCGCACCUGACUCUCACUGAGAAUCUUGUCUUGAAAUCUAUUCAACCAAAUGCCAUGGCUUUCUCCAUGAACUCCAUAUUACAGCACCACACCAACUGCUGUUCGCUCAACACCCGCUUAGCUCAGCGGCAACAUGGAUUUGAAUCACCGACCUUUAAUUUAAUUUUGUUGUAAUUUUUAAUUAGGAGCAAGAAAUAUUUUAUUUUAUUUUUCGAAUAUUUGCCUGUUUUCAUGUGUGUUUGUGGACUUUUCGUGCUCGUGACUUGCUCUCUGUGCAAUGACAAUGCCUGUAUGUACUAAUUUUCUUCUCACCUGACGAAGAGGAUAGAUUUCAAUCCUCGAAACGUUGUGUUAUAAAUUUUGCAACAUGUAACGAUGACAAAUAUCCGAAAUCCUGUUACCCCCAUAUACCUUGGGCCAAAAUAUUUUAAUGCCUUCCAGACUAUAUUAAAACUAGUGAACCCUUUCAAUACCGUUUCUUAUUAACAGAGCCUUUCAUACCCUGAAGAAAUUCUUUGGGACUUAUCUCUGACGGUAUAGGUUUAUUAAAUUGUAUUUUUCAAAAGUCAUGUAAUUUUUUUCAGUAUUUGAAUAUAAUAUACGGUUAUGAUAGUGUUCUAUAAAAUGUUAAACCGUUAUGAACUACACAAAAUUUGAUUAGAUUUGAAAUAAUUAUUGGCUCCAACUCCACUUGAUGUCCAUAAAACGUUAAUGCCAAUGUAGGUCUUGGUUAAGAUGCUUAAAUACAACCGGAAUCGUGAUAAAUAGAAUAAAUACUUAAUCAAAUAACACAUUGCAACAGCCGGACUAGACUUCUCUAAACCGUUAUAGAACUUGUUUCAAUAUUAAAGUAUUUUAAAAAUAGCA